CGCCUUUAACUACAGGGUCGUACUGCGGCGGGAAUGUUGAAUAGCAGUGUGGCUGGGGGAGGCCUCAGCCCGUAACCGAUGUGGGAAAUGAACCCAGAAAGGAUUGGCUCAUAGACAAAUGACUGGACUUUUUCCUGAAGAUAUUUCUGAAACAGUGCACAAUUCAUGGUACCUUUGGUCAUCUCACAAUUUAAUAAACCAUUACUGAUCCUCAA
Xenopus tropicalis (tropical clawed frog) is the source of this 215-nucleotide long non-coding RNA. RefSeq lists it as uncharacterized. The record is from RefSeq and is a predicted model, not a curated record. The transcript is spliced from 2 exons. NCBI's taxonomy places the organism in Eukaryota, Metazoa, Chordata, Amphibia, Anura, Pipidae.